CCUGAGAAACCCAAAAGAUCGAAUGGGGAGAUUCAUCGACGACGAAGCUGGCUCCCGUUGGCGUGCGAUUCCCCCGUUGGGACCUCUGUUCCAGAACGCGGGGUACACCCCUUCGGCGAAUAACCGGCGACGUAGUCGUGCACUUCUCCCUUAGUAGAACGUCGCGACCCGUUGUGUGUCGGUCUACGGCCUGGGCUAUUUGCCUGUCGCGGUGGCAUUCGUUCGCUCGCGGCAGAGGCUCGGUCGCCCGGCCGGCUGCACGACGGUACUCCGACGGUAUCGGGCCGCAACCAAGCCAUUCUCGAAUGGUAUAUGCGUCCAGGCCCGUCGCAAGCUCGGACAGCACCCGGAGCGUGUGGACGCAGCGCCCUCCCCGGGUCUGGCCAGCUGUUAGCAGACGGAGUCCUCGGACCGGCCAAGCUUCGAAUUACCGGUCAGCGACGCUAUUGCUUUGGGUACUCUCAGGACCCGUCUUGAAACACGGACCAAGGAGUCUAACAUGUGCGCGAGUCAUUGGGACAUUGAAACCUAAAGGCGAAAUGAAAGUGAAAGUCGUCGUAAGCGUCGACCAAGGGNAGGAUGGGCCGCGUCACGUCGCGGCCUCGCACUCCCGGGGCGUCUCGUUCUCGUUGAGAAGAGGCGCACCCAGAGCGUACACGUU
Molecule: ribosomal RNA, 661 nt
Filed under: Colletes skinneri
Lineage: Eukaryota; Metazoa; Arthropoda; Insecta; Hymenoptera; Colletidae
Description: eukaryotic LSU rRNA
Rfam family: Eukaryotic large subunit ribosomal RNA
Source: RNAcentral